Spea bombifrons (plains spadefoot toad) is the source of this 204-nucleotide long non-coding RNA. RefSeq lists it as uncharacterized. The transcript is spliced from 3 exons. Lineage: Eukaryota; Metazoa; Chordata; Amphibia; Anura; Pelobatidae. The record is from RefSeq and is a predicted model, not a curated record.
CCGGAAUGUGGCACUCAGUGGGAGGGGCAUUUGUUUGGUUAGUAGAAGCCGGAAAACAUGUCUGCGAGUUGCACGGAGCGGCUCACAGACAUGGGGACCUUGUGAAAUCAUUCGGCGUCAGAGCUUCCUCCAGAAUGAACCAAAGAGACCUCGGAGCCUGAGACAAGGGGUCAGAGGGCCGCUGCCGGGGUCUAACGCCUCCCC